Molecule: long non-coding RNA, 167 nt
Organism: Chelonia mydas (Green sea turtle)
Lineage: Eukaryota; Metazoa; Chordata; Testudines; Cheloniidae
Exons: 4
Source: RefSeq, a predicted model, not a curated record
UAAACCAAAGCCUGUGUUUUUUGUACAGCCUAAAAUGGAUUAAUUUGUUUUAAAACUAUGACUUUUUAAGUAGAAAAACACCCUAAUGACUAUUUAACUUUUUAAGUUUACAAGACACUUUAAUGUGCUUUAUAAUAAUAAUAAUCAUAAUCACAAUAAUAUUUUCU